UGCAGUCGAGCGGUAGCACAGAGAGCUUGCUCUCGGGUGACGAGCGGCGGACGGGUGAGUAAUGUCUGGGAAACUGCCUGAUGGAGGGGGAUAACUACUGGAAACGGUAGCUAAUACCGCAUAACGUCGCAAGACCAAAGUGGGGGACCUUCGGGCCUCAUGCCAUCAGAUGUGCCCAGAUGGGAUUAGCUAGUAGGUGGGGUAACGGCUCACCUAGGCGACGAUCCCUAGCUGGUCUGAGAGGAUGACCAGCCACACUGGAACUGAGACACGGUCCAGACUCCUACGGGAGGCAGCAGUGGGGAAUAUUGCACAAUGGGCGCAAGCCUGAUGCAGCCAUGCCGCGUGUAUGAAGAAGGCCUUCGGGUUGUAAAGUACUUUCAGCGGGGAGGAAGGCGAUAAGGUUAAUAACCUUGUCGAUUGACGUUACCCGCAGAAGAAGCACCGGCUAACUCCGUGCCAGCAGCCGCGGUAAUACGGAGGGUGCAAGCGUUAAUCGGAAUUACUGGGCGUAAAGCGCACGCAGGCGGUCUGUCAAGUCGGAUGUGAAAUCCCCGGGCUCAACCUGGGAACUGCAUUCGAAACUGGCAGGCUAGAGUCUUGUAGAGGGGGGUAGAAUUCCAGGUGUAGCGGUGAAAUGCGUAGAGAUCUGGAGGAAUACCGGUGGCGAAGGCGGCCCCCUGGACAAAGACUGACGCUCAGGUGCGAAAGCGUGGGGAGCAAACAGGAUUAGAUACCCUGGUAGUCCACGCCGUAAACGGUGUCGAUUUGGAGGUUGUGCCCUUGAGGCGUGGCUUCCGGAGCUAACGCGUUAAAUCGACCGCCUGGGGAGUACGGCCGCAAGGUUAAAACUCAAAUGAUUUGACGGGGGCCCGCACAAGCGGUGGAGCAUGUGGUUUAAUUCGAUGCAACGCGAAGAACCUUACCUGGUCUUGACAUCCACAGAACUUAGCAGAGAUGCUUUGGUGCCUUCGGGAACUGUGAGACAGGUGCUGCAUGGCUGUCGUCAGCUCGUGUUGUGAAAUGUUGGGUUAAGUCCCGCAACGAGCGCAACCCUUAUCCUUUGUUGCCAGC
Molecule: ribosomal RNA, 1074 nt
Filed under: Klebsiella pneumoniae
Lineage: Bacteria; Pseudomonadati; Pseudomonadota; Gammaproteobacteria; Enterobacterales; Enterobacteriaceae
Description: bacterial SSU rRNA
Rfam family: Bacterial small subunit ribosomal RNA
Source: RNAcentral